CUGAAGAUGCCAAUCUGUGGGAAUAUCUAUCUAUAGAUGAUAGAUAGAUAUUCCCACAGAUUGGCAUCUUCAG
Molecule: non-coding RNA, 73 nt
Organism: Podarcis lilfordi (Lilford's wall lizard)
Lineage: Eukaryota; Metazoa; Chordata; Lepidosauria; Squamata; Lacertidae
Source: the annotation of a GenBank genome assembly